UUUUGAGAUGGAGUCUUGCUCUGUCACCCAGGCUGGAGUGCAGUGGUGGGAUCUAGGCUCAUUGCAACCUCUGCUCACUGCAAUCUCUGCCUCCCGGGUUCAAGUGAUUCUCCUGCCUCAGCCUCCUGAGUAGCUGGGAUUACAGGCACACACCACCACACUUGGCUAAUUUUUGUAUUUUUAGUAGAGACGGGAGAUGGGGUUUCACCAUGUUGGUCAGGCUGGUCUCGAACUCCUGACCUCAUGAUCUGCCUGCCUUGGCCUCCCAGAGUGCUGGGAUUACAGGUGUGAGCCACUGUGCCCGGCCCUAUAUUUGUAAUUUCUUUUCAUUACUGGCAGACUUUCCCCUCAUUUACCUGCAUUGCCUUUAAAUUUCCUUAGUCCAUUUCUCCGCAGCUUUGUAUAGUAACAGUCUGGUCUCUGUACAUGCUCUUCAAAAAUUUCAUCUAUUUAAACUCAUUUUCUUUGUAGGAGGUAAAUGAAUUCUUUUCAAGGCAAUCAACCCCAUAUUUAUUCUGUGAAAAUCCUGGAAAUUCUGGCCAUUUUUAUCAACAUUCUUCCUCAUUUGCUAUGUGUUAGUCUCCAGUGGGGUUUCCAGGUGAACAAGUCCCUAAGGAGCUCAAUCAAGUGGGGAAAGAGUCACACAUAUCAACGUUUCACAGCUAAAAUGAUUUGGUGACAGUGAAUACAAUGUGGAGCACAGAGAACAGAGUGACAAAUAACGGCAUUUUCUGAGGUAAGGGGUCACAGUCCUCUCUUCUCCUUCCCCACACCUACUUAGCAUGAUGCUCCUCUCCUGGCCAGUGUGUCCAAAGAGAUGGAGCUCCCUCUUCCCUCAGAUUCCAAUAAAGCAUUACUGUGAUUGCUUAUUGAAUAGAGGGGCAGGCCUCCAACAUGUCUCACCCCCUCCAGCUCUAAAUGAGAGAGACUAAAUUCAUGGUGAGUAUGGUCAGGAGGUGAGGAGCUCCCUUUUUUCACACAGCCCCUGCUAGUACGAGUUAGGUCCCCAGGUGCAGCUGCCUGAGAAUACUGGAAGCCAAUUGCCUUCACCCAAGCUCACUCAUAGUACAGAGGUUCCAAGCUGGGACAGUCAAGCCAGGAAAACAAGAGGCUACCACCCUGUUCACUGUGCAGAAAGCAACUCAGAGAUUUAGCCCAAGGGGAGAGAAAGUCUAUAAGAAAAAAGAGCUCUGAAGUUCUCCACAAAGAACCUAAGUGUGUUUGAAUAAAUCUUUUAAUUUUGAUAAUGUUUAACAUCUGAAAAUCAAUUAACGUACUAUAGCUCAUCAGUAGAAUUAAGUGACUCCACAUGGUCAUCUUAAUAGAUGCAGAAAAAGCAUUUGACAAAAUUCAAUGCCACUUCAUGAUAAAAACAUUCGAUAAACUAGAAAGAGAAGGGAAUAUUCUCCACUUGAUAAAGGGCAACUACAAUAAAUUCCACAGCUAACAUAUUCAGUGUUAAAAGACUGGGUGCUUUCCCCCUAAAAUUAGGUACAACAGGCGGUUUUCUGCUCUUACCACUUCUACUCAAUAUGGUAUUGGAGAUAGUGUACAGGCAGUAAAAUUUCACUAAAUACUGCUGAUAUGUCCUCCAAAAAUGUUCCAUCUUCAACUACCAUGAAAGUAUUAGAAUGCUUCUUUCUUUAUACCAUCUAAAACAUUAUUGCCUCUACAAUCUGUGAAAAAUGGUUAUAUGUUGCUAUUUUAAUUUGAAUUGCUUUAAUUAUAAUUAAAGUUGGGAAUUUUGAAUUUUUACUUAUUUUUAAAUUUUUUAUUGAGACAGGUCUCACUGUUGCCCAAGCUGGAUUGCAAUGGCAUCAUCCUAGUUCCCUGCAGCCUGGAACUCCUGAGCUAAAGCAAUCCAUCCGCCUUAGCCUCCUGAGUAGCUGGAACUACAGGCAUGUGCCACCACGCCUCAUUUUUGUAUUUAGGUUGGGCAUUUUAAAAUCUG
This 1951-nucleotide long non-coding RNA is filed under the name Homo sapiens (human). RNAcentral describes it as "HSALNT0315383". The record is from RNAcentral. Lineage: Eukaryota; Metazoa; Chordata; Mammalia; Primates; Hominidae.